AAAUAACACUGACAAGGACGCGGUGCAGUGGGAAUACAGUCAGUACGAGAGAGAGAGGAGACGAGAGAUAAGGCCGUCGGACCCAAACCAGCAUGUCUAAAACUUUUAACAGUUCAGCUCAGGACGAGGAUUGUGGUCAGGUGGCAGACAGGGAUCUCACUCCCAAGCAGUGAUUUCCAGCUUCUCCUCAGGGAUCCAGAGACGUUCCCAGACCUCCAUCUUUGU
This is a long non-coding RNA of Lates calcarifer (barramundi perch), 225 nucleotides long. RefSeq lists it as uncharacterized. The transcript has 3 exons. The record is from RefSeq and is a predicted model, not a curated record. Lineage: Eukaryota; Metazoa; Chordata; Actinopteri; Centropomidae.